This 253-nucleotide ribosomal RNA is filed under the name uncultured bacterium. RNAcentral's name for it is "partial 16S ribosomal RNA". It matches the Rfam family "Bacterial small subunit ribosomal RNA", at positions 524 to 776 of the family's 1533-position model. The record is from RNAcentral.
UACGUAGGGUGCGAGCGUUGUCCGGAAUCAUUGGGCGUAAAGAGCGUGUAGGCGGUUCGGUAAGUCGGCUGUGAAAGUCCAGGGCUCAACCCUGGGAUGCCGGUCGAUACUGCCGGACUAGAGUUCGGAAGAGGCGAGUGGAAUUCCCGGUGUAGCGGUGAAAUGCGCAGAUAUCGGGAGGAACACCUAUGGCGAAGGCAGCUCGCUGGGACGUUACUGACGCUGAUGCGCGAAAGCCAGGGGAGCGAACGGG